Molecule: ribosomal RNA, 505 nt
Filed under: Rhacophorus reinwardtii (Reinwardt's flying frog)
Lineage: Eukaryota; Metazoa; Chordata; Amphibia; Anura; Rhacophoridae
Description: partial 16S ribosomal RNA
Rfam family: Bacterial large subunit ribosomal RNA
Source: RNAcentral
GUCUAGCCUGCCCAGUGAUAAAUUCAACGGCCGCGGUAUCCUAACCGUGCGAAGGUAGCAUAAUCACUUGUUCUUUAAAUAGGGACUCGUAUCAACGGCAUCACGAGGGUUACACUGUCUCCUCCCUCCAAUCAGUGAAACUGAUCCCCCCGUGAAGAAGCGGGGAUGAACUAAUAAGACGAGAAGACCCCAUGGAGCUUUAAAUCUCACAGCAACUCUAACACUUAAUCCCUCACAACCCACAGAGCAAUGCAUGUCGGUUUUAGGUUGGGGUGACCGCGGAGCAAAAAUUACCCUCCACGACGAAAAGAACUAAGCCUUUAUCUAAGAGCAACUCCUCUAAGAACUAGUAUACUAACGAACAAUGACCCGAUAAUCGAUCAACGGACCAAGUUACCCUGGGGAUAACAGCGCAAUCUACUUCAAGAGCCCAUAUCGACAAGUAGGCUUACGACCUCGAUGUUGGAUCAGGGUACCCCGGUGGUGCAGCAGCUACUAACGGUUC